This 235-nucleotide ribosomal RNA is filed under the name uncultured bacterium. Its description in RNAcentral is "partial 16S ribosomal RNA". It matches the Rfam family "Bacterial small subunit ribosomal RNA", at positions 99 to 334 of the family's 1533-position model. The record is from RNAcentral.
CGGACGGGUGAGUAACGCGUGGAUAACCUGCCUCACACUGGGGGAUAACAGUUAGAAAUGGCUGCUAAUACCGCAUAAGCGCACAGUACCGCAUGGUACCGUGUGAAAAACUCCGGUGGUAUGAGAUGGACCCGCGUCUGAUUAGCUAGUUGGUGGGGUAACGGCCUACCAAGGCGACGAUCAGUAGCCGACCUGAGAGGGUGACCGGCCACAUUGGGACUGAGACACGGCCCAA